GGUCGGUCCCCCUGUGCACGCGCGGCGGCCUAGUAGGUGGAAGCUGACUGCAGGGAGGCCUCGAGGGCUGGCCAGCAGCCCUGGCCGCGUGAGUCUCCAGGCCCCUCCUUUCCUCUCUGGGCCGGAACGGUGUGCGGGCCCGCUACGCGGCCGGCAGGAGAGUGGCGCGGAGCUGAAGCCGCCGAGGCGUUGGAGGAGUCCAGACUCAUCCGGAAUCGGGCUGUUGAGGGACGGGAAAUCUAGAAGCUUCAGGACUGGAGGGAGUCCCUGAUCCCACUGGCCUUGACUUUGGACAAGGCUUUAAUUUGUUCUAGUCAACUAUUCAGCGAUUUUGAGCAAAAAAGAUUCUCUGGCCUGCAGCAUGAUAUUGGCUUGAUGUGGAAAGAUUAAGAUUCUAGGCUAAAGGGAAGAAGCCAUUAGAGAAGAAUACCCCGAGGUCCAUGAGGACAAUUUGUGAUCAGUGCUUACUCUUAUGCCUUGACUUGCUAUGUAAGUCUUUCUCCCUCUUGAUAGCAUUUGAAGGUUUUUGCAGUGCUACUUGGAGCCUCCUUGUGGUGAACCUAAUAAUGACAUAUAAAGUAGAAAAACUUGAUACACCAGUCAUUGCAUAUGUAGAUUAUUUUUAUGAGGGUUAAAUGAAGGUAGGUUUUGUGGUUGUGAUAAGAAUGCUUAGUUCUUUGGUUUCCAAUGAGUUAUAAUGUGAUGCCUAAAAUUGUUAUAACUUU
Molecule: long non-coding RNA, 725 nt
Organism: Rattus rattus (black rat)
Lineage: Eukaryota; Metazoa; Chordata; Mammalia; Rodentia; Muridae
Exons: 3
Source: RefSeq, a predicted model, not a curated record